GGGGCAGGGCGGCGUGCCUAUACAUGCAGUCGAACGAACUCUGGUAUUGAUUGGUGCUUGCAUCAUGAUUUACAUUUGAGUGAGUGGCGAACUGGUGAGUAACACGUGGGAAACCUGCCCAGAAGCGGGGGAUAACACCUGGAAACAGAUGCUAAUACCGCAUAACAACUUGGACCGCAUGGUCCGAGCUUGAAAGAUGGCUUCGGCUAUCACUUUUGGAUGGUCCCGCGGCGUAUUAGCUAGAUGGUGGGGUAACGGCUCACCAUGGCAAUGAUACGUAGCCGACCUGAGAGGGUAAUCGGCCACAUUGGGACUGAGACACGGCCCAAACUCCUACGGGAGGCAGCAGUAGGGAAUCUUCCACAAUGGACGAAAGUCUGAUGGAGCAACGCCGCGUGAGUGAAGAAGGGUUUCGGCUCGUAAAACUCUGUUGUUAAAGAAGAACAUAUCUGAGAGUAACUGUUCAGGUAUUGACGGUAUUUAACCAGAAAGCCACGGCUAACUACGUGCCAGCAGCCGCGGUAAUACGUAGGUGGCAAGCGUUGUCCGGAUUUAUUGGGCGUAAAGCGAGCGCAGGCGGUUUUUUAAGUCUGAUGUGAAAGCCUUCGGCUCAACCGAAGAAGUGCAUCGGAAACUGGGAAACUUGAGUGCAGAAGAGGACAGUGGAACUCCAUGUGUAGCGGUGAAAUGCGUAGAUAUAUGGAAGAACACCAGUGGCGAAGGCGGCUGUCUGGUCUGUAACUGACGCUGAGGCUCGAAAGUAUGGGUAGCAAACAGGAUUAGAUACCCUGGUAGUCCAUACCGUAAACGAUGAAUGCUAAGUGUUGGAGGGUUUCCGCCCUUCAGUGCUGCAGCUAACGCAUUAAGCAUUCCGCCUGGGGAGUACGGCCGCAAGGCUGAAACUCAAAGGAAUUGACGGGGGCCCGCACAAGCGGUGGAGCAUGUGGUUUAAUUCGAAGCUACGCGAAGAACCUUACCAGGUCUUGACAUACUAUGCAAAUCUAAGAAGAUUAGACGUUCCCUUCGGGGACAUGGAUACAGGUGGGGGCA
RNAcentral lists this ribosomal RNA (1050 nucleotides) under Lactiplantibacillus plantarum. RNAcentral's name for it is "bacterial SSU rRNA". It matches the Rfam family "Bacterial small subunit ribosomal RNA", at positions 32 to 1045 of the family's 1533-position model. Lineage: Bacteria; Bacillati; Bacillota; Bacilli; Lactobacillales; Lactobacillaceae. The record is from RNAcentral.